This 380-nucleotide ribosomal RNA is filed under the name uncultured eukaryote. RNAcentral describes it as "partial 18S ribosomal RNA". It matches the Rfam family "Eukaryotic small subunit ribosomal RNA", at positions 592 to 976 of the family's 1831-position model. The record is from RNAcentral.
CAAUAGCGUAUAUUAAAGUUGUUGCAGUUAAAAAGCUCGUAGUUGGAUUUCUGUUGAGAACGACCGGUCCGCCCCCCGGGUGAGUAUCUGGCUCGGUCUUGGCAUCCUCUUGGGAAACGUAUCUGCACUUCACUGUGUGGUGCGGUACCCAGGACUUUUACUUUGAGGAAAUUAGAGUGUUUCAAGCAGGCAAUUGCCUUGAAUACAUUAGCAUGGAAUAAUAAGAUAGGACUUCGGUUCAAUUUUGUUGGUUUCUUGGGCUGAAGUAAUGAUUAAUAGGGAUAGUUGGGGGCAUUCGUAUUUAACUGUCAGAGGUGAAAUUCUUGGAUUUGUUAAAGACGAACUACUGCGAAAGCAUUUGCCAAGGAUGUUUUCAUUGA